GUGCUGUGCAUGCGGGCGCCGACGGCGACGACGUUGGCGUUGUUGUGCUGGCGGCCCAGGGACGCCGUCUCCUCGCUCCAGGCGAGGGCGGCGCG
Molecule: transfer RNA, 95 nt
Filed under: Streptomyces galbus
Lineage: Bacteria; Bacillati; Actinomycetota; Actinomycetes; Kitasatosporales; Streptomycetaceae
Description: tRNA-Ala
Source: RNAcentral